RNAcentral lists this long non-coding RNA (209 nucleotides) under Lathyrus oleraceus (garden pea). RNAcentral's name for it is "Pisum sativum (pea) long non-coding RNA (PSAT_LNC015571)". The record is from RNAcentral. Lineage: Eukaryota; Viridiplantae; Streptophyta; Magnoliopsida; Fabales; Fabaceae.
AAACAAUAAACCUUUUUACCAAAUGGGACCUUUUUACUGAUUUCCACUUUUAUUCCAAUUAUAAAAUAAUAAUCCAAUAAUAAUAAUCCCAAUAAUUAUUAUUCCCAAAAAUAAUAAUAUUAAUCCAAACUUCCAAUUAUUCAAUUAAAUUAAUAAAUAAAAUAUUAAUUUAAAUUAAAUAAUUAGCUUAUUUUAAUUGGGGUGUUACA